This 253-nucleotide ribosomal RNA is filed under the name uncultured bacterium. RNAcentral describes it as "partial 16S ribosomal RNA". It matches the Rfam family "Bacterial small subunit ribosomal RNA", at positions 524 to 776 of the family's 1533-position model. The record is from RNAcentral.
UACGGAGGGUGCAAGCGUUAUCCGGAUUCACUGGGUUUAAAGGGUGCGUAGGCGGGCAGGUAAGUCAGUGGUGAAAUCUCCAAGCUUAACUUGGAAACUGCCGUUGAUACUAUCUGUCUUGAAUGUUGUGGAGGUGAGCGGAAUAUGUCAUGUAGCGGUGAAAUGCUUAGAUAUGACAUAGAACACCGCUUGCGAAGGCAGCUCACUCCACUAAUAUUGACGCUGAGGCACGAAAGCGUGGGGAUCAACCAGG